GACGAACCGUGCUAACGUUGUUCGGAAUCACUGGGCUUAAAGGGCGCGUAGGCGGUCCAUAAAGUCAGGGGUGAAAUCUUUCAGCUUAACUGGAAAAGUGCCUUUGAUACUGAUGGACUCGAGCGAGGUAGGGGCAGAUGGAACUCCGGGUGGAGCGGUGAAAUGUGUAGAUAUCCGGAGGAACGCCGGUGGCGAAAGCGAUCUGCUGGACCUCUUCUGACGCUGAGGCGCGAAAGCCAGGGGAGCAAACGGG
RNAcentral lists this ribosomal RNA (253 nucleotides) under uncultured bacterium. Its description in RNAcentral is "partial 16S ribosomal RNA". It matches the Rfam family "Bacterial small subunit ribosomal RNA", at positions 524 to 776 of the family's 1533-position model. The record is from RNAcentral.